GUCUAUUUCUACAAGACUAUAUCGUGCAACAUCCUAGAAGAGAGUCGUCUUCGACAACCAUUCGACAGCAGAUUCAAUACAAUCCUACAGGUUAUGUUAUGUUAUCCAGCUGAUGGAAGCAGUAAGAUUAUCUGCUGUCUGCAAGAUGUAGCACCUUCUCUUUGAGGUUAGGACCACUUACUUCAGAGUUACACAUAUGGGCCUGAUUAAAUCAUGUAAUAAGUUUUAAUAUUGGAGACAUUUUUAUCACUAAUUGAAUGCCUUUCUUUUUACUGAAUCGUUAAUUGUAUAGACUUUAACCCACUUACAGUCAUUAAAGGGGAUACAUAAACACA
Molecule: long non-coding RNA, 335 nt
Organism: Zootermopsis nevadensis
Lineage: Eukaryota; Metazoa; Arthropoda; Insecta; Blattodea; Termopsidae
Source: RefSeq, a predicted model, not a curated record